RNAcentral lists this unclassified non-coding RNA (375 nucleotides) under Hevea brasiliensis (rubber tree). Lineage: Eukaryota; Viridiplantae; Streptophyta; Magnoliopsida; Malpighiales; Euphorbiaceae. The record is from RNAcentral.
UUCUUUUUGUGCUGAAGAGAAGGUGAUGGAACUUUACAAAAAGAAAUGUGAAGGCCCUGUGAAGACAGGAAUAAGAGACGGGUUGAUAUGUGGAUUUGGAUUUGGACUAUCUUUCUUCUUCCUUUACUCUGUCUAUGCUGCUAGUUUUUAUGCUGGAGCCCGACUUGUUGAGGUUGGCAACACAACAUUUGUUGAGGUUUUUCGAGCGUUCUGUGCUCUCAGUAUGGCAGCUGUUGGAGUUUCUCAAUCAAGCUCCUUCGCUCCUGAUGCUGGCAAAGCAAAAAGCGCUGCAGCUUCUGUGUUUGCAAUUCUUGAUCAGAAAUCAAAAGUAAAUUCCAACGAUGAUUCUGGUAUAGUAAUAGAAAAUCUUAAAGG